This 696-nucleotide unclassified non-coding RNA is filed under the name Hevea brasiliensis (rubber tree). The record is from RNAcentral. Lineage: Eukaryota; Viridiplantae; Streptophyta; Magnoliopsida; Malpighiales; Euphorbiaceae.
UUUGAAGAUAUGGAGAAGAUUAAUCAAGAGGAGCAUCAAUUAUGGAUGAUAGAUGAAGGACAUGAAUUAGAUCAUGGUGAAAUUUGUGAUAAUAAUAAUAUGAGCCACUCAUCUUCAUCAUCAAUUUCAUCAUCUAUUGGUGAAGGAUCAUCAAACAUCUCUAAUGGAUCUUGUUGUUCAUCUUCACUUGAUACAACAGAUGAUGCAUCUUCAUCACCUUCUUCUGAUGAUGGAGCUUUAUAUGACUUAUCAUCCCUCAUGUCACAACUACCAAUCAAGAGGGGAUUAUCUAAGUUUUAUGAAGGGAAAUCACAGUCUUUUACAUCUUUGUCAAGAGUUACAAGUUUAGAAGAUCUUGCUAAGAAAGAAUCACCAUACAGAAGAAAAAUGAAGUCUUGUAAGAGUUAUGGAGCUGGAUUGGAUUCUUAUAAAUCAUAUACUCUUCCUAAGGCAACUAUAUUGAAGAAAGCUUCUAAAAGUUCAUCAUUUUCAUCAUAUGGAAAGGCAAGUUUUAUCAGCAGAAGCAGGCCCCCUCUAAUCCCUGUGCAAGAGAUAUAGUGUGUAGUACAGAAAACAAAAGAAAAUAAGGAGAGUGUUGUAUUUAUUUAUUCAAACAGAAAGAGAGAUCUAGGCUAGAGAGUGAGAAAGAGUUGUGUAUAUGUAUACUUCAAUUUUGGAUAUGUUAUUGCAUUUUUG